GGAGAGGUGUCCGAGUGGCUUAAGGUGUACGCUUGGAAAGCGUAUGUAGGUGAAAAUCUACCGGGAGUUCGAAUCUCCCCCUCUCCGCCA
This 90-nucleotide transfer RNA is filed under the name Fidelibacterota bacterium. Its description in RNAcentral is "tRNA-Ser". It matches the Rfam family "tRNA". From Rfam's summary of the family: Transfer RNA (tRNA) molecules are approximately 80 nucleotides in length. Their secondary structure includes four short double-helical elements and three loops (D, anti-codon, and T loops). Further hydrogen bonds mediate the characteristic L-shaped molecular structure. tRNAs have two regions of fundamental functional importance: the anti-codon, which is responsible for specific mRNA codon recognition, and the 3' end, to which the tRNAs corresponding amino acid is attached (by aminoacyl-tRNA synthetases). tRNAs cope with the degeneracy of the genetic code in two manners: having more than one tRNA (with a specific anti-codon) for a particular amino acid; and 'wobble' base-pairing, i.e. permitting non-standard base-pairing at the 3rd anti-codon position. Lineage: Bacteria; Pseudomonadati; Fidelibacterota. The record is from RNAcentral.